Molecule: ribosomal RNA, 549 nt
Filed under: uncultured bacterium
Lineage: Bacteria
Description: bacterial SSU rRNA
Rfam family: Bacterial small subunit ribosomal RNA
Source: RNAcentral
UGGGGAAUAUUGGACAAUGGGCGAAAGCCUGAUCCAGCCAUGCCGCGUGUGUGAAGAAGGCCUUUUGGUUGUAAAGCACUUUAAGUGGGGAGGAAAAGCUUGUGGUUAAUACCCAUAAGCCCUGACGUUACCCACAGAAUAAGCACCGGCUAACUCUGUGCCAGCAGCCGCGGUAAUACAGAGGGUGCAAGCGUUAAUCGGAAUUACUGGGCGUAAAGCGCGCGUAGGUGGUUAUUUAAGUCAGAUGUGAAAGCCCCGGGCUUAACCUGGGAACUGCAUCUGAUACUGGAUAACUAGAGUAGGUGAGAGGGGAGUAGAAUUCCAGGUGUAGCGGUGAAAUGCGUAGAGAUCUGGAGGAAUACCGAUGGCGAAGGCAGCUCCCUGGCAUCAUACUGACACUGAGGUGCGAAAGCGUGGGUAGCAAACAGGAUUAGAUACCCUGGUAGUCCACGCCGUAAACGAUGUCUAUCAGUCGUUGGGUCUUUUAAAGACUUAGUGACGCAGUUAACGCAAUAAGUAGACCGCCUGGGGAGUACGGCCGCAAGGUUA